CUCGGCCGCGCUGGGCACGCAUUUGCUGGCGCGCCUGCGCAGCGUGCAGGCCAAGUGGCCCACGCUGGUGCGUGCCGUGCGCGGCCGCGGGCUGUGG
RNAcentral lists this transfer RNA (97 nucleotides) under Pseudorhodoferax aquiterrae. RNAcentral's name for it is "tRNA-Arg". Lineage: Bacteria; Pseudomonadati; Pseudomonadota; Betaproteobacteria; Burkholderiales; Comamonadaceae. The record is from RNAcentral.